CCCUAUGGGUCGUAAACUGCUUUUGUACGAGAAAAAACCUCUUUACGUGUAAAGAGCUGAUUGUAUCGUAAGAAUGAGGAUCGGCUAACUCCGUGC
RNAcentral lists this ribosomal RNA (96 nucleotides) under uncultured bacterium. RNAcentral's name for it is "partial 16S ribosomal RNA". The record is from RNAcentral.